This is a non-coding RNA of Gossypium raimondii (Peruvian cotton), 107 nucleotides long. The record is from Rfam. NCBI's taxonomy places the organism in Eukaryota, Viridiplantae, Streptophyta, Magnoliopsida, Malvales, Malvaceae.
AUUUCGUGAUGAGGGCACUUCCGUAAUAAUUCUUUGUACCUUUCCCAUGCCUCAUACAAGGACUUAUCAUCCAUUUGUUGGAAAGCAGUUAUCUCGUUCCUCAACUU